Long non-coding RNA from Cucurbita maxima (winter squash), 141 nucleotides. RefSeq lists it as uncharacterized. The transcript is spliced from 3 exons. The record is from RefSeq and is a predicted model, not a curated record. Lineage: Eukaryota; Viridiplantae; Streptophyta; Magnoliopsida; Cucurbitales; Cucurbitaceae.
UCCCUUUGACCUGCGCUCACGUUAGGAUAUUAUUUGAGGAUAACUCUUGAUAUCACUCGUCACCAUCGCACUUUGGAUGACAAUGGACUUGCGAUUGUGCGGCACUCACUUCCCAGUAACAAACAACACACGCAUUAGGAA